RNAcentral lists this ribosomal RNA (917 nucleotides) under uncultured bacterium. RNAcentral describes it as "bacterial SSU rRNA". It matches the Rfam family "Bacterial small subunit ribosomal RNA", at positions 8 to 917 of the family's 1533-position model. The record is from RNAcentral.
AGAGUUUGAUCAUGGCUCAGAUUGAACGCUGGCGGCAGGCUUAACACAUGCAAGUCGAGCGGAGAUAUAGUGCUUGCACUAUAUUUUAGCGGCGGACGGGUGAGUAAUACUUAGGAAUCUGCCUAUUAAUGGGGGACAACAUCUCGAAAGGGAUGCUAAUACCGCAUACGCCCUACGGGGGAAAGCAGGGGAUCACUUGUGACCUUGCGUUAAUAGAUGAGCCUAAGUCGGAUUAGCUAGUUGGUGGGGUAAAGGCCUACCAAGGCGACGAUCUGUAGCGGGUCUGAGAGGAUGAUCCGCCACACUGGGACUGAGACACGGCCCAGACUCCUACGGGAGGCAGCAGUGGGGAAUAUUGGACAAUGGGGGGAACCCUGAUCCAGCCAUGCCGCGUGUGUGAAGAAGGCCUUAUGGUUGUAAAGCACUUUAAGCGAGGAGGAGGAGCUCUAGGCUAAUAUCCUAGAUGCUUGGACGUUACUCGCAGAAUAAGCACCGGCUAACUCUGUGCCAGCAGCCGCGGUAAUACAGAGGGUGCGAGCGUUAAUCGGAUUUACUGGGCGUAAAGCGUACGUAGGCGGCUUUUUAAGUCGGAUGUGAAAUCCCUGAGCUUAACUUAGGAAUUGCAUUCGAUACUGGGAAGCUAGAGUAUGGGAGAGGAUGGUAGAAUUCCAGGUGUAGCGGUGAAAUGCGUAGAGAUCUGGAGGAAUACCGAUGGCGAAGGCAGCCAUCUGGCCUAAUACUGACGCUGAGGUACGAAAGCAUGGGGAGCAAACAGGAUUAGAUACCCUGGUAGUCCAUGCCGUAAACGAUGUCUACUAGCCGUUAGGGCCUUUGAGGCUUUAGUGGCGCAGCUAACGCGAUAAGUAGACCGCCUGGGGAGUACGGUCGCAAGACUAAAACUCAAAUGAAUUGACGGG